UACCAGCACCCCGAGUGGUCGGGACGUUUAUUGGGCCUAAAGCGUCCGUAGCCGGUUCUACAAGUCUUCCGUUAAAUCCAGCUGCUUAACAGAUGGGCUGCGGAAGAUACUAUGGAGCUAGGAGGCGGGAGAGGCAAGCGGUACUCGAUGGGUAGGGGUAAAAUCCGUUGAUCCAUUGAAGACCACCAGUGGCGAAGGCGGCUUGCCAGAACGCGCUCGACGGUGAGGGAUGAAAGCUGGGGGAGCAAACCGG
Molecule: ribosomal RNA, 253 nt
Filed under: uncultured bacterium
Lineage: Bacteria
Description: partial 16S ribosomal RNA
Rfam family: Archaeal small subunit ribosomal RNA
Source: RNAcentral